This 253-nucleotide ribosomal RNA is filed under the name uncultured bacterium. RNAcentral's name for it is "partial 16S ribosomal RNA". It matches the Rfam family "Bacterial small subunit ribosomal RNA", at positions 524 to 776 of the family's 1533-position model. The record is from RNAcentral.
UACGGAGGGUGCAAGCGUUAUCCGGAUUCACUGGGUUUAAAGGGUGCGUAGGCGGCGUUAUAAGUCAGUGGUGAAAGUUUUCAGCUUAACUGAGAGAUUGCCAUUGAUACUGUAAUGCUAGAGAAUAUUUUAGGUAGGCGGAAUGCGUCAUGUAGCGGUGAAAUGCAUAGAUAUGACGUAGAACACCGAUAGCGAAGGCAGCUUACUGGGAUAUAUCUGACGCUGAGGCACGAAAGCGUGGGGAUCGAACAGG